Molecule: ribosomal RNA, 459 nt
Filed under: uncultured bacterium
Lineage: Bacteria
Description: partial 16S ribosomal RNA
Rfam family: Bacterial small subunit ribosomal RNA
Source: RNAcentral
CCUACGGGAGGCAGCAGUGAGGAAUAUUGGUCAAUGGGCGCGAGCCUGAACCAGCCAAGUCGCGUGAGGGAGGACGGCCCUACGGGUUGUAAACCUCUUUUGUCGGGGAGCAAAGCGAGUCACGUGUGACUCAUUGAGAGUACCCGAAGAAAAAGCAUCGGCUAACUCCGUGCCAGCAGCCGCGGUAAUACGGAGGAUGCGAGCGUUAUCCGGAUUUAUUGGGUUUAAAGGGUGCGCAGGCGGAGGUGUAAGUCAGCGGUCAAAUUGCGGGGCUCAACCCCGUACUGCCGUUGAAACUGGAUCACUUGAGUGCGCGAGAAGUAAGCGGAAUGCGUGGUGUAGCGGUGAAAUGCAUAGAUAUCACGCAGAACUCCGAUUGCGAAGGCAGCAUACCGGCGCUCAACUGACGCUCAUGCACGAAAGCGUGGGUAUCGAACAGGAUUAGAUACCCCAGUAGUC